This 1633-nucleotide long non-coding RNA is filed under the name Oryza brachyantha (malo sina). Its description in RNAcentral is "long non-coding RNA (OBRA_LNC001525)". The record is from RNAcentral. Lineage: Eukaryota; Viridiplantae; Streptophyta; Magnoliopsida; Poales; Poaceae.
CCAAUUUUGUAGUAUUAACUAUAUCUUUUAUACUAUAUUAAAUAGCUAUCCCAGAAAUCAAAAAUUCUUUCUUCUUCAAGAAAUAACACAACCUGAAUGGUGCUCUAAUCACGUCACUUAUCGCAAAAAUUAAAAACAAAAUCUUUUUACAAGAAAUAACACAGCCUGAAUGGUGCUCUAAUCACGUCACUGAUCCCACUUUCAUCAAGGAUGCAAGUUUGCAGCACGUGGUGCUCUAAUCACACCUAGUGAUGCCAUUGGUUUCUUGAUUCCUCAGCGGUAGAAUGCACUGCAGUGCACACGUACCACAGUGCAGCAUCUACAAAAAAACACAAGGUCAGAACAAAGCUUAGUGCAUUUCAAGAGAAUGCUAUUCCAUCCAUUACAUUAAUAUAAAAUGUUUGACUUUUUACUUGCAAUGUUUGACUAUUUAUUUUAUUUAAAAAAUUAUGAAAAUAUCAUUUAUUUUGCUUGUGACUUACUUUAUUAUUAAAAGAACUUUAAGUAUAACUUGUCAUUUUUUAUAUUUGUACUAAAUUUUUGAAUAAGAUGAAUAUUCAAACGUUACAAAAAAAAGAGUCAAACAUCUUAUAUUAUAAAACGGAGGUAGUAAUAUUUUACUUUCUAAAAAUUUGUAAUGGGUUCAUCUAAAAAAUUUUGGGCAUAAAAAUUACCCAGUCAAUAAAACUCUAAAAAUAAAUAACUUAUAUUAGAAACACAUAUUUCUUGCCUCAGAUUUAGAACAUAAGUGAGCUAAUUUUAGGCGUGCGUAAAUAUUAGGAAUGUUCUACCUCUGUUAUAUAUUGCAAGACAUUCUAGCCUUGACUAAAUUCAUUAAUUGAUAAAUGUAUAUAAUUUAUAUAUAUGUCUAUAUUUAUUAGCAUCCAUAUGAGAAAGUCUUACAUCAUAAAAUAAAGGGAAUAUUUGGUAACCUUUUGAAGAUAUAUUUUCUAACUCAAUUCCCUAAAUCUAGUUUUAGACAUCAAUUUGAGAUAUCUCUGGGAAAUGAUCUAAAAGAAAAUAGCCUGUGGUUAACCUAACCCAAAUGGAUUAGAGCUUGAUCAAAUCAUCCAUGCUGUUGGAUUAGGGCUUGAUCAAAUCAUCCCUUGCUUGUUCCACGGUCAAAUAUCAAUGAGCUACCUGCGUUGGAGUAGGUCCACGUUCUUUGACCAAGCCAGCCGCCAACCAGCGCUGCCGAUGAGAAAAAGAAAAUCCUCUUUUUUUUUUUAUCUGAUCGCGACGGAGCGGAACAGUUGAGCUGAUCGAUCGCCGGCGAUCAAAGUAUAUUAUCUCCGGAGCCAGUGACCGGUGGCGGCCAUUUUUCCUCUCUUUUUUUUUUGGUACAAUUUUGAUUUUUUUUCUUCUUAAUUUACUCUCGGCGUCAUCACACGUCGCCGUCCCUUUCGGUUUCGUCUACUCGUAUCUCCCCAUAAAAAUUCGAUCUUUCGGUUCUCGGCGAACCACCCCGCCCCGGACGGAGACGACGCCGACGCCUUCGUAUAAAGCGGAUCGCUGCUCCGUGUCGUCUCCUGCCGUGUGAUCGAUCGAUGGCGGGGCUGCAGCGGUCGAGAGAGACGUUCCGGCGGUCGGGGUCGUCGGGGCUGGUGUGGGACGACAGGCACCUGUCCGGNNN